CAAAAAACCAAACCGAACCAGUGCGUGCCACCCCGCAACCCGUCGCCGCACGCCGCCCCGCAACCCGUAGUACACCUCCGCUCCACCGCGCCAGAAGCCUCCUUCUCCUGCUCCGGCCGCCUCCCUCCCUAGCGCCGGCGGCCUCUCUCCAUCCUGGGUCGACCUUCUCCUUCCCCCGCGACGGACGCCUCCCUUCACCAUGCGCUGCCCCGUCUGCUUCCACCCGCCGCCGCCGCCCCCUGCUCCCAUGAGCAGCUGGCGGCCUCCCUGGUUCCACGCGCCGCCGGCGGUCCUCCUGCUUCCGACCCCCGCCGGCGAGGGCCAUCCCAGCGCCGCCAAUUGCCGCGACCAGCCUUCCCUACCGCCGUCUUGGUGAACUUCCCCCACCUCGCAGCGGACCGUCAGUUCGUCACAUCGCAUCGCUGCAUCUGGUGGCCACAACACGCCGUCCAAUUCGGCAGUCCAACUGCUUGCUCCACGGUCGGUCGCUCAAGGAGCUGCGUGCAGGCCACCCUGUGCUCCGCCCUGGAUCCGGCUUGACUUUCUCCAUCCAGCUCAUCUGCAUCUCGAUCAACCUCAACUCCAUCCAGCUAUCUACCACAGGUUAUGCUAUCUUUUCUAAAUCGGAUGCCAUUUGUGCUUGAUGGCUGCUGCUACACUUGCACUGCUUGAUCAUGGGCAUGGUGCUACUAAUUGGUGUAGAGUUCUUGGGCCUGCUAUCUAGCAUUUGCACUGCAACAAUCAAUCAAGAAAGCAGACAUGGAGCAGGAUAGCAGGUGUGUGCCAUAGAUGAUGCUGAACUUGUGUGGCUGUUGCAGACGAACUUAGUUGAACUUGGUUAGUUGCUCAAGGAAUUCCCCAGGGGAUCUGAAGUCCCUCAAGAGAGCGUAGCUCCUUUACUUCUAUGUCGGCCGGCCGGACACAUCCCUGGAAUUUGUUAGCUGCUAAUUUUUGUUGUUGCUGCUGCAUGGCAAGGUGAGCUAAGGAAGAAGGAUUAAUUCAUGUUGUUUUGAUGUUUCAGGAAUUGAAAGCAUUUGGGAAAGAAAAAAAGAUGCUUUUUCAGCUACUGUACAUGAGUUGCAUUUGAGCCCUCACUAUUGUCAGAAUGUCAAAGCUAGUAUAAUCCUUACUGAGUUGCUGCUUUUCUGAAUUUUGGUUCCCACACCCAAGUCUGGUGGUUCAGUUAUUCAAUCUCGACAAGUACUGAUAAUAAAAAAUUAAAAGGUCUUCCAUCAAACAUGUUCACAUAGUAUUGUUAAGUAAGUACAGAAGUCAUGCUCUUAGUUGAACAUCAUGCAAGUUCAACUCGGCUUCGGCAUCACGAACUGGUUCAGUUCGAUCUUGCACGAGUGGGCGGGUCCUUGAUGGCGUGUGUGUCAGUUCCACUUGCACGAGUGGACGUCAGGUCACACGAGUGGGCAGCUCCCCGACGGUGAGAACCGCAGGAUGUCCACAAGGAAUGAUCUUCCAUGACAACCAACUCGUGUGAAUUCCUCCACUAAACUACAGUUCGGUCAGUUAAUGUUUUCAGUAACACGCUCAUUUCCGUUUUCUCAUUUUAGUUUAGUACAAUUUAUUAUUUUAGUUCAGUUCAAAAAACUUAUUUUAACCAUGUAAUAUACAUUGUUGGCAAAGAUGACUAUAGUUGUUAUAGCAAAAACAGUACAAACUUUUUAAAAGUUUCUUUUUGAACUUCUCCCAACUAAUAUACAUGAACUUGAUUUUCUUUUUACAUGUACUUACAGCAUCUCGUUGGAUUUUGAGCGUGUGCUUGUAACACAAUCAGUUCAUAUCUCGGGAGACCAUAAGUUCAAGUUCACUAGUAUUUACAAAUGCUGGUAGCAGUGCUAGCAUUUAAAAACUUGUGACCUAAGAAUUAAGCUUGCAUCUUCUUACUUCUAUGGAGGCACUGACCUCUUCAUUUUUUUAGACCAACCACUGACCCGAGAAUUAGCCAUGGUGGUGAUCGAGGGAGAACACUCGGCUACAGGGGUUCCCAAAUUAGUUGUGCAUGGACGGCCACCUCAAGCAGUAGUAAAGUUCAUCAUAUGUAGACUGGACAUGAACUGAACAUGCAACCUCCUGAAUGUGCCUGAUGAUGCUUGACAUAUAAGUACAUGCAAGUCGGCUCAUGGAUAAUAUGAUUUUUGUGCUGAGGUUGGUGCUAUGUGUUCAUGUGGGUGCUUGAAAAGUUCUGUACAAGAAUAGGCCGAUGAUUUUUGUGCUGAGGUUGGUGCUAUAGAUAAUAUAAUUUAUGUACAUGUAUUAUAUGUGUGGAAA
This is a long non-coding RNA of Triticum aestivum (bread wheat), 2280 nucleotides long. RefSeq lists it as uncharacterized. NCBI's taxonomy places the organism in Eukaryota, Viridiplantae, Streptophyta, Magnoliopsida, Poales, Poaceae. The record is from RefSeq and is a predicted model, not a curated record. The transcript has 2 exons.